UCCCUGACCCCCCUCACUUUUACAAGUUUUCUUUCUGUGCCUCCUUUUAUCCCCUUUGCUGGGUUUUUUAGAAUUCUUCCUGGUGCUUCCUUAGUGCCCUCACUUUUUAAAUUUUCUUUCUGCAUCUCCGUUAUAGCUGGCUGUCCCUACGUUUUAAUUUUUCCUUUUUUUCCCUAAUCCCCCUCACCUUUAAAAUUUUCUUUCUCUGCCGACUUUUAGUCCCUGUGCUGGUUUUUUAGAACUAUUCUUGGUGUUUGCGAAGUGUCCUUGCUGCUUCAGUUUUCUCUCUACCUCUCCGUUGUAGUUCCCGGUCCCUAUUUUGUAAUUUUUUCCUUAUUUCCUUAAUCACCGUUGCUUUUAAAAUGUUCCGUCGGCUUUUAUCCCGUUUGCAGUCUUUAGUUGUCUGCCUUUACUUUUGACUUAUUUUUUGUCUUUCCUUAGCGCCCUUCUUUUUAGAUAUUGUUUUCUACGGCUCUGGUUUUUUCGCUGUCCCUAUUUUUUAUUUUUGCCCUUUACUUUCUUAAUCCCCGUCGCUUUUUAAACAUUCUUUCUUUGCCUGCUUUUUUCCCCUUCACUGGCUUUUACAAAUUAUUUCUUCUCUGGCUUCUUUGCCAUCACUUUUUAGACCUUCUUGCUACGUCUCCGUUUUCAUUCGUUGUCCCUACGUUUUAUUUUUCCCUUUCUUUCCCUGACCCCCCUCACAUUUAAAAGUUUUCUUUCUGUGCCUCCUUUUAUCCCCUUUGCUGGGUUUUUUAGAAUUCUUCCUGGUGCUUCCUUAGUGCCCUCACUUUUUAAAUUUUCUUUCUGCAUCUCCGUUAUAGUUGGCUGUCCCUACGUUUUAUUUUGUCCUUUUUUUUCCCCCAAUGCCUAUUGCUUUUUAAAUCCUCUUUCCGUGCCGACUUUUACUCCCUUUGCUGGUUUUCUAGAAUUAUUCCUGGUGUUUCCGUAGCGCCCUCGCUGCUUCAGUUUUCUCUCUACCUCUCCGUUGUACUUCCCGGUCCCUAUUUUGUAAUUUUUUCCUUAUUUCCUUAACCACCGUUGCUUUUAAAAUGUUCCGUCGGCUUUUAUCCCGUUUGCAGUCUUUAGUUGUCUGCCUUUACUUUUGACUUAUUUUUUGUCUUUCCUUAGCGCCCUCGCUUUUUCGAGGUUGUUUUCUACGGCUCCGUUUUAGUUCGCUGUCCCUAUUUUGUAAUUCUUUCCUUCAUUUCCCUAAUGCCUAUUGCUUUUUCAAAGAUUGUUUCUAUGCCGACUUUGAUUGCCUUUGCUGGUUUUUUGUGAUUCUUUCUUGUCUUUCCUUAGUGCCGCCGCUGUUUUAAAUUUUCUUUCUACCUCUCUUGUAGUUCGCUGACCCUCUUUCCUAAUUUUUUCCUUUAUUUCCCUAAUACUCAUCGCUUUUGAAAUGGUCUUUCCAUGUCUCCUUUUAUUCCCUUUGCCGUUGCUUUAGAAUUAGUACUCGGUUUUCCGUAGUGCCAUCGAUUUUAAAUUCUCUUCCUACGUCUCCGUUUUAGUUCACCGUCACUGGUUUUUAAUUUUUUCCCUAUUUCCUGAAUCAUCGGUGCUUUUAAGAUUUUCUGUCUGCUUUUCCCCCGUUCGCUGGCUUUAUUUCACUGUCUUUAGUUUUUUAAUUAUUCCUUGUCUGUCUUUAGUCCCCUCGCUUUUCAAAUUUUGUGCCUACAUCUCUUUUGGUUUGCUGUCCCUAUAUUUUAAGUUUUCCCUUUAUUUCCCUAAAACUCCUCCCUCGUUGAGUUUUCUUUCUACGCCUGCUUUUUCUCCAUUUGCUGUUUUUAAAAAUGAUUUCUUGUCUUUCCUUACUGACCUCGUUUUGAAAAUUUUCUUGCUACGUCUCCGUUCCCGUUCGCUGUCCCUACGUUUUAAUUUUUCCCUUUCUUUCCCUGACCCCCCUCACUUUUUACAAGUUUUCUUUCUAUGCCUCCUUUUAUCCCCUUUGCUGGGUUUUUUAGAAUUCUUCCUGGUGCUUCCUUAGUGCCCUCACUUUUUAAAUUUUCUUUCUGCAUCUCCGUUAUAGCUGGCUGUCCCUACGUUUUAAUUUUUCCUUUUUUUCCCUAAUCCCCCUCACCUUUAAAAUUUUCUUUCUCUGCCGACUUUUAGUCCCUGUGCUGGUUUUUUAGAACUAUUCUUGGUGUUUGCGAAGUGUCCUUGCUGCUUCAGUUUUCUCUCUACCUCUCCGUUGUAGUUCCCGGUCCCUAUUUUGUAAUUUUUUCCUUAUUUCCUUAAUCACCGUUGCUUUUAAAAUGUUCCGUCGGCUUUUAUCCCGUUUGCAGUCUUUAGUUGUCUGCCUUUACUUUUGACUUAUUUUUUGUCUUUCCUUAGCGCCCUUCUUUUUAGAUAUUGUUUUCUACGGCUCUGGUUUUUUCGCUGUCCCUAUUUUUUAUUUUUGCCCUUUACUUUCUUAAUCCCCGUCGCUUUUUAAACAUUCUUUCUUUGCCUGCUUUUUUCCCCUUCACUGGCUUUUACAAAUUAUUUCUUCUCUGGCUUCUUUGCCAUCACUUUUUAGACCUUCUUGCUACGUCUCCGUUUUCAUUCGUUGUCCCUACGUUUUAUUUUUCCCUUUCUUUCCCUGACCCCCCUCACAUUUAAAAGUUUUCUUUCUGUGCCUCCUUUUAUCCCCUUUGCUGGGUUUUUUAGAAUUCUUCCUGGUGCUUCCUUAGUGCCCUCACUUUUUAAAUUUUCUUUCUGCAUCUCCGUUAUAGUUGGCUGUCCCUACGUUUUAUUUUGUCCUUUUUUUUCCCCCAAUGCCUAUUGCUUUUUAAAUCCUCUUUCCGUGCCGACUUUUACUCCCUUUGCUGGUUUUCUAGAAUUAUUCCUGGUGUUUCCGUAGCGCCCUCGCUGCUUCAGUUUUCUCUCUACCUCUCCGUUGUAGUUCCCGGUCCCUAUUUUGUAAUUUUUUCCUUAUUUCCUUAACCACCGUUGCUUUUAAAAUGUUCCGUCGGCUUUUAUCCCGUUUGCAGUCUUUAGUUGUCUGCCUUUACUUUUGACUUAUUUUUUGUCUUUCCUUAGCGCCCUCGCUUUUUCGAGAUUGUUUUCUACGGCUCUGGUUUUUUCGCUGUCCCUAUUUUUUAUUUUUGCCCUUUACUUUCUUAAUCCCCGUCGCUUUUUAAACAUUCUUUCUUUGCCUGCUUUUUUCCCCUUCACUGGCUUUUACAAAUUAUUUCUUCUCUGGCUUCUUUGCCAUCACUUUUUAGACCUUCUUGCUACGUCUCCGUUUUCAUUCGUUGUCCCUACGUUUUAUUUUUCCCUUUCUUUCCCUGACCCCCCUCACAUUUAAAAGUUUUCUUUCUGUGCCUCCUUUUAUCCCCUUUGCUGGGUUUUUUAGAAUUCUUCCUGGUGCUUCCUUAGUGCCCUCACUUUUUAAAUUUUCUUUCUGCAUCUCCGUUAUAGUUGGCUGUCCCUACGUUUUAUUUUGUCCUUUUUUUUCCCCCAAUGCCUAUUGCUUUUUAAAUCCUCUUUCCGUGCCGACUUUUACUCCCUUUGCUGGUUUUCUAGAAUUAUUCCUGGUGUUUCCGUAGCGCCCUCGCUGCUUCAGUUUUCUCUCUACCUCUCCGUUGUAGUUCCCGGUCCCUAUUUUGUAAUUUUUUCCUUAUUUCCUUAACCACCGUUGCUUUUAAAAUGUUCCGUCGGCUUUUAUCCCGUUUGCAGUCUUUAGUUGUCUGCCUUUACUUUUGACUUAUUUUUUGUCUUUCCUUAGCGCCCUCGCUUUUUCGAGGUUGUUUUCUACGGCUCCGUUUUAGUUCGCUGUCCCUAUUUUGUAAUUCUUUCCUUCAUUUCCCUAAUGCCUAUUGCUUUUUCAAAGAUUGUUUCUAUGCCGACUUUGAUUGCCUUUGCUGGUUUUUUGUGAUUCUUUCUUGUCUUUCCUUAGUGCCGCCGCUGUUUUAAAUUUUCUUUCUACCUCUCUUGUAGUUCGCUGACCCUCUUUCCUAAUUUUUUCCUUUAUUUCCCUAAUACUCAUCGCUUUUGAAAUGGUCUUUCCAUGUCUCCUUUUAUUCCCUUUGCCGUUGCUUUAGAAUUAGUACUCGGUUUUCCGUAGUGCCAUCGAUUUUAAAUUCUCUUCCUACGUCUCCGUUUUAGUUCACCGUCACUGGUUUUUAAUUUUUUCCCUAUUUCCUGAAUCAUCGGUGCUUUUAAGAUUUUCUGUCUGCUUUUCCCCCGUUCGCUGGCUUUAUUUCACUGUCUUUAGUUUUUUAAUUAUUCCUUGUCUGUCUUUAGUCCCCUCGCUUUUCAAAUUUUGUGCCUACAUCUCUUUUGGUUUGCUGUCCCUAUAUUUUAAGUUUUCCCUUUAUUUCCCUAAAACUCCUCCCUCGUUGAGUUUUCUUUCUACGCCUGCUUUUUCUCCAUUUGCUGUUUUUAAAAAUGAUUUCUUGUCUUUCCUUACUGACCUCGUUUUGAAAAUUUUCUUGCUACGUCUCCGUUCCCGUUCGCUGUCCCUACGUUUUAAUUUUUCCCUUUCUUUCCCUGACCCCCCUCACUUUUUACAAGUUUUCUUUCUAUGCCUCCUUUUAUCCCCUUUGCUGGGUUUUUUAGAAUUCUUCCUGGUGCUUCCUUAGUGCCCUCACUUUUUAAAUUUUCUUUCUGCAUCUCCGUUAUAGCUGGCUGUCCCUACGUUUUAAUUUUUCCUUUUUUUCCCUAAUCCCCCUCACCUUUAAAAUUUUCUUUCUCUGCCGACUUUUAGUCCCUGUGCUGGUUUUUUAGAACUAUUCUUGGUGUUUGCGAAGUGUCCUUGCUGCUUCAGUUUUCUCUCUACCUCUCCGUUGUAGUUCCCGGUCCCUAUUUUGUAAUUUUUUCCUUAUUUCCUUAAUCACCGUUGCUUUUAAAAUGUUCCGUCGGCUUUUAUCCCGUUUGCAGUCUUUAGUUGUCUGCCUUUACUUUUGACUUAUUUUUUGUCUUUCCUUAGCGCCCUUCUUUUUAGAUAUUGUUUUCUACGGCUCUGGUUUUUUCGCUGUCCCUAUUUUUUAUUUUUGCCCUUUACUUUCUUAAUCCCCGUCGCUUUUUAAACAUUCUUUCUUUGCCUGCUUUUUUCCCCUUCACUGGCUUUUACAAAUUAUUUCUUCUCUGGCUUCUUUGCCAUCACUUUUUAGACCUUCUUGCUACGUCUCCGUUUUCAUUCGUUGUCCCUACGUUUUAUUUUUCCCUUUCUUUCCCUGACCCCCCUCACAUUUAAAAGUUUUCUUUCUGUGCCUCCUUUUAUCCCCUUUGCUGGGUUUUUUAGAAUUCUUCCUGGUGCUUCCUUAGUGCCCUCACUUUUUAAAUUUUCUUUCUGCAUCUCCGUUAUAGUUGGCUGUCCCUACGUUUUAUUUUGUCCUUUUUUUUCCCCCAAUGCCUAUUGCUUUUUAAAUCCUCUUUCCGUGCCGACUUUUACUCCCUUUGCUGGUUUUCUAGAAUUAUUCCUGGUGUUUCCGUAGCGCCCUCGCUGCUUCAGUUUUCUCUCUACCUCUCCGUUGUAGUUCCCGGUCCCUAUUUUGUAAUUUUUUCCUUAUUUCCUUAACCACCGUUGCUUUUAAAAUGUUCCGUCGGCUUUUAUCCCGUUUGCAGUCUUUAGUUGUCUGCCUUUACUUUUGACUUAUUUUUUGUCUUUCCUUAGCGCCCUCGCUUUUUCGAGGUUGUUUUCUACGGCUCCGUUUUAGUUCGCUGUCCCUAUUUUGUAAUUCUUUCCUUCAUUUCCCUAAUGCCUAUUGCUUUUUCAAAGAUUGUUUCUAUGCCGACUUUGAUUGCCUUUGCUGGUUUUUUGUGAUUCUUUCUUGUCUUUCCUUAGUGCCGCCGCUGUUUUAAAUUUUCUUUCUACCUCUCUUGUAGUUCGCUGACCCUCUUUCCUAAUUUUUUCCUUUAUUUCCCUAAUACUCAUCGCUUUUGAAAUGGUCUUUCCAUGUCUCCUUUUAUUCCCUUUGCCGUUGCUUUAGAAUUAGUACUCGGUUUUCCGUAGUGCCAUCGAUUUUAAAUUCUCUUCCUACGUCUCCGUUUUAGUUCACCGUCACUGGUUUUUAAUUUUUUCCCUAUUUCCUGAAUCAUCGGUGCUUUUAAGAUUUUCUGUCUGCUUUUCCCCCGUUCGCUGGCUUUAUUUCACUGUCUUUAGUUUUUUAAUUAUUCCUUGUCUGUCUUUAGUCCCCUCGCUUUUCAAAUUUUGUGCCUACAUCUCUUUUGGUUUGCUGUCCCUAUAUUUUAAGUUUUCCCUUUAUUUCCCUAAAACUCCUCCCUCGUUGAGUUUUCUUUCUACGCCUGCUUUUUCUCCAUUUGCUGUUUUUAAAAAUGAUUUCUUGUCUUUCCUUACUGACCUCGUUUUGAAAAUUUUCUUGCUACGUCUCCGUUCCCGUUCGCUGUCCCUACGUUUUAAUUUUUCCCUUUCUUUCCCUGACCCCCCUCACUUUUUACAAGUUUUCUUUCUAUGCCUCCUUUUAUCCCCUUUGCUGGGUUUUUUAGAAUUCUUCCUGGUGCUUCCUUAGUGCCCUCACUUUUUAAAUUUUCUUUCUGCAUCUCCGUUAUAGCUGGCUGUCCCUACGUUUUAAUUUUUCCUUUUUUUUCCCUAAUCCC
Long non-coding RNA from Gymnogyps californianus (California condor), 6540 nucleotides. RefSeq lists it as uncharacterized. The record is from RefSeq and is a predicted model, not a curated record. NCBI's taxonomy places the organism in Eukaryota, Metazoa, Chordata, Aves, Accipitriformes, Cathartidae. The transcript is spliced from 3 exons.